Small nuclear RNA from Mesocricetus auratus (golden hamster), 107 nucleotides. The record is from Ensembl. Lineage: Eukaryota; Metazoa; Chordata; Mammalia; Rodentia; Cricetidae.
GUGCUGUCUUUGUCAGCACAUGUACUAAAAUUGGAAUGGCACAGAGAAGACUAGAAUGGCUUCUGCACAUGGAUGACAUGAAAAUUUGUGAAGUAUUCCUAUUUUUA